This 470-nucleotide ribosomal RNA is filed under the name uncultured archaeon. RNAcentral's name for it is "bacterial SSU rRNA". It matches the Rfam family "Archaeal small subunit ribosomal RNA", at positions 1 to 471 of the family's 1478-position model. The record is from RNAcentral.
UUCCGGUUGAUCCUGCCGGUAGGCCAUUGCUAUUGGAGUCCGACUUAGCCAUGCUAGUUGCACGAGUUUAGACUCGUGGCGUAUAGCUCAGUAACACGUGGCCAAACUACCCUACAGACCGGAAUAAUCUCGGGAAACUGAGGUCAAUACCGGAUACGACUUCCACGCUGGAAUUGCGGGAAGUUGGAAAUACUACGGUGCUGUAGGAUGUGGCUGCGGCCGAUUAGGUAGACGGUGGGGUAAUGGCCCACCGUGCCAGUAAUCGGUACGGGUCGUGAGAGCGAGAGCCCGGAGACGGUAUCUGAGACAAGAUACCGGGCCCUACGGGGCGCAGCAGGCGCGAAACCUUUACACUGCACGACAGUGCGAUAGGGGGACUCCGAGUGCGAGGGCAUAUAGUCCUCGCUUUUCUGUACCGUAAGGUGGUACAGGAAUAAGAACUGGGCAAGACCGGUGCCAGCCGCCGCGGU